Molecule: ribosomal RNA, 796 nt
Filed under: uncultured Glomeromycotina
Lineage: Eukaryota; Fungi; Glomeromycota
Description: SSU rRNA
Rfam family: Eukaryotic small subunit ribosomal RNA
Source: RNAcentral
AUCAACUUUCGAUGGUAGGAUAGAGGCCUACCAUGGUGGUAACGGGUAACGGGGUGUUAGGGCACGACACCGGAGAGGGAGCCUGAGAAACGGCUACCACAUCCAAGGAUGGCAGCAGGCGCGCAAAUUACCCAAUCCCGACACGGGGAGGUAGUGACAAUAAAUAACAAUACGGGGUCCUUUCGGGUUUCGUAAUUGGAAUGAGUACAAUUUAAAUCUCUUAACGAGGAACAAUUGGAGGGCAAGUCUGGUGCCAGCAGCCGCGGUAAUUCCAGCUCCAAUAGCGUAUAUUAAAGUUGUUGCAGUUAAAAAGCUCGUAGUUGAAUUUCGGGAUUAGUACGUUGGUCGUGCCUUCGGUACGUACUGGUGUUACUGAUUCCUACCUUCUGACGAACCAUCAUGUCAUUAAUUUGGUGUGGUGGGAAAUCAGGACUGUUACUUUGAAAAAAUUAGAGUGUUUAAAGCAGGCUCGCGCUUGAAUACAUUAGCAUGGAAUAAUGAAAUAGGACGUUGACCCUAUUUUGUUGGUUUCUAGGAUUGACGUAAUGAUUAAUAGGGAUAGUUGGGGGCAUUAGUAUUCAAUUGUCAGAGGUGAAAUUCUUGGAUUUAUUGAAGACUAACUACUGCGAAAGCAUUUGCCAAGGAUGUUUUCAUUAAUCAAGAACGAAAGUUAGGGGAUCGAAGACGAUCAGAUACCGUCGUAGUCUUAACCAUAAACUAUGCCGACUAGGGAUCGGAUGAUGUUAUUUUUAAUGACUCAUUCGGCGCCUUACGGGAAACCAAAGUGUUUGGGUUC